This 253-nucleotide ribosomal RNA is filed under the name uncultured bacterium. Its description in RNAcentral is "partial 16S ribosomal RNA". It matches the Rfam family "Bacterial small subunit ribosomal RNA", at positions 524 to 776 of the family's 1533-position model. The record is from RNAcentral.
UACGAAGGGGGCUAGCGUUGCUCGGAAUUACUGGGCGUAAAGCGCACGUAGGCGGCUCUUUAAGUCGGAGGUGAAAUCCUGGAGCUCAACUCCAGAACUGCCUUCGAUACUGAAGAGCUCGAGUCCGGGAGAGGUGAGUGGAACUGCGAGUGUAGAGGUGAAAUUCGUAGAUAUUCGCAAGAACACCAGUGGCGAAGGCGGCUCACUGGCCCGAUACUGACGCUGAGGCACGAAAGCGUGGGGAGCAAACAGG